ACAGGGUGGCAGUAACCACAAACAGUGUUACACUGGGACAAUUAGCGGUGCAGAGCAAAAUGUGCUCAUAAUCCGUGUUACUGGAGAAUGAGCAACAGUUGUCCUGCGUCGCUGAUUUCUCAGGAAUAUUUCUGAUAUUUUCAGUUACAGGUUUAUCUAUAUAUCUGCCAGUGGGGACCUAGCAGGGACCCGCUACAUAUUCACCCUAGCUUCCAUGUCUCCAGACUCAAACCUCUUCAAGCCUGUUCACUGGUUUGAGCUCUCUUUUGCUUGCCCUGCAUUGUUCUUACUACCUGUGCUCCGGACUAUUGGACAGUUGAUUAUUCUGUGUUUUUGCCUGCCCUGAAUUACCCUGCCUGCCUGUGUACCGGAUUAUGGACUGUCCAUUACUCUGUGUUUCUGCCUGCGCUGUAUUACCCGGCCUGCCUAUGUAGCAGAUUAUGGACUAUUUAUUACUCUGUGCUUUUGCCUGCCCUGCAUAACCCUGCCUGCUUGUGUACCAGAUUACUGUUCAUUACUCUUUGUUUCUGCCUGGCCUGCAUUGAUCUGCCUGCUUGUGUUAGAAUUACUGUGUUGCUCCGAUUAUCCGACUGUUAUCUGCCCAGUUCAUGCUUGAGCCAAGAGACUGCACCCCAACUGACAAAGCCUUUCCUCAUUGCCUGCUAAAAUAGAGCUAACACCUAGAGCUAAGAAAAGUGUAAUGUGGACCUCUCACCCAACACUGUGAGCAUCAUUUCACUUAAGAUUUAAUAAAAAGCACUUGUUUUCCACUACUCUCCCCACCUCAUGUGUGCUUUUUCAGUCAUUUAGCCUUUUGCCAUGUGCCUUUUGUUUACAUUUUGUUUUCACAUGUCUGCCCCGCCCUUGUCUUUUCCUUCCCGCCUUAGAACACCUGUCCUUUCUGUGUCUAAUUGUCUAGCUUAUUUAUUCAUGCCGUGUUGCUAAAUCCUUGUUUUUUGUUUUGUCUCUGUAUUGUUUUCUUUGUUUUUGUCAUGAUUUUUGAGUUUCAGUUUUGUUUUUUGUUUGUUGUUUUAUUUAGCUAUCCUGCAUUUCUGUCAAUUUAUCCACGGCAACACCCCGGUUUUCUGACAGAAGGAUUCCACCACUCCAGGACCCAGCGAGAUAGCCUCUAGCCUAGCACCGGCAAAUUGUGGGGGCAUUUUUAUUUUUUCGGAUAAUUCUUUCUGCCCUUUAAAACCCAACUUUUGUUUUUCUUUUUCGGUGGACAUCACUCCACAUAUGUUCCAGUGGGGGACGCCGCUCCGCAUCCUGUUUCCCGCAAAGGAUGCCACCUCACUUCUUGCCUGCAGAGGAAGUCACCAGCCUUAUUUUUGCUCUUUUUUUUUUUUUUUUGCGACAUCGCCCCAUACCUGUUCCGGUGGAGGACGCCGCCUCACUUCUUGUCCGCAGGGGGGUUAUUGCAGGACCGUGUGUUUGUCCUAUGUGGACAUCACUCAGCCAUUCUGCUCGGCUGUGGACGUUGCUCGGCCCCUCUGACUAUGCCGUCAGGUGCCUUGAUCCCCCCAGCUGCCUUGCCAUAUGCCUCGCUUGACCCACCUGCCUCACCACGUGCCUUGCUCCCCCUACCUGCGUUGCUCCCCCCUCCUGGAUCAUGGUUCCCUCUGAUAUUAUGACGGAUACAGGAUUGGCGCUUUGGGAGCCACGCCUCGAAGGGGGUACUCUCAGGAUCUAUGUAUCAGGAUUCACUUAUCUGCCCCGCCUUUGUCUAUUCCUUCCCACCUUAGCACCCCUGUCCCUUAUGUGUCUAAUUGUCUACUGUAUUUAUUCGUGCAGGGCUGCAAAUCCUUGUCUUUUGUUGUUACUGUAUUGAUUUCUUGGAUUGUGUUGUGUUGUGAUUUUUGAGUUUCGGGUUUUUUUGUUUGUUUAAUAAAUCUGUUUUAUUUAGCUA
Long non-coding RNA from Tachysurus fulvidraco (yellow catfish), 1909 nucleotides. RefSeq lists it as uncharacterized. NCBI's taxonomy places the organism in Eukaryota, Metazoa, Chordata, Actinopteri, Siluriformes, Bagridae. The transcript has 2 exons. The record is from RefSeq and is a predicted model, not a curated record.